RNAcentral lists this long non-coding RNA (576 nucleotides) under Lepisosteus oculatus (spotted gar). RNAcentral's name for it is "lncRNA (ENSLOCG00000022717.1)". Lineage: Eukaryota; Metazoa; Chordata; Actinopteri; Semionotiformes; Lepisosteidae. The record is from RNAcentral.
UUUGUGUUCUAAAAUGUAUACUGCUUGUGUUCUGUAAAUGUAUACAAACACUUGAGAUAAGAGUUACUUCUCCGGAUGAGAUGUGAUUGCAUUUGCCAAUAUCUGACAAUAACCUAGUUAAUGGAAUACUGAUAUUAAGAUCAAGGCCAUCCCUUGAAAGCAGCUCUCAAGUCUUUGUUGGCCUCUGCUGUUUUUAGCAAGCACAAGAUUAUUUUUGAAGUGUGCUGGGGGUGUUUGCUUCCUCUGUGGGCACUCACCUCUUUGUUUAAAUUGGCACUUUCACUGACAAGGGCCAUAUGAUGACAGUGGUCUUUAAUGCAGUUAUUCCUGAAGAUCUGCUGAAGGUCCAUUGCACCAGUGGAAAAUGUCCAUUCUUAAGCCCCCUGACACAUACCGUAGAAGCCAGAGUGUGAAACAUCAGAAACAGCAGUGGAACGCCUGCCCUGUAUUUGUUUUCUGGGACAUGGAAAAGAUCCAUUUGUUUAAAGGCAGAUCCAGAUCUAUUGGAUAUGUUGGAUAUGACAGGUUGUUGGUUCUGCUGCCCAGACAGGGAGCAGUGCUUCUAACAGCAUUUGC